RNAcentral lists this transfer RNA (74 nucleotides) under Planctomycetota bacterium. RNAcentral's name for it is "Planctomycetes bacterium (sediment metagenome) tRNA-Lys". It matches the Rfam family "tRNA". Rfam says of the family: Transfer RNA (tRNA) molecules are approximately 80 nucleotides in length. Their secondary structure includes four short double-helical elements and three loops (D, anti-codon, and T loops). Lineage: Bacteria; Pseudomonadati; Planctomycetota. RNAcentral also lists the same sequence under 4 other names. The record is from RNAcentral.
GCCCCCUUAGCUCAAUUGGUCAGAGCAUCUGACUCUUAAUCAGAGGGUUGUAGGUUCGAGUCCUACAGGGGGCA